Non-coding RNA from Angiostrongylus costaricensis, 72 nucleotides. NCBI's taxonomy places the organism in Eukaryota, Metazoa, Nematoda, Chromadorea, Rhabditida, Metastrongylidae. The record is from Rfam.
UCCCAUGUGGUCUAGUGGUGACGAUUCGUGGUUUUCACCCACGCGGCCAGGGUUCGAUUCCCGGCAUGCGAG